RNAcentral lists this ribosomal RNA (209 nucleotides) under uncultured bacterium. RNAcentral's name for it is "partial 16S ribosomal RNA". It matches the Rfam family "Bacterial small subunit ribosomal RNA", at positions 568 to 774 of the family's 1533-position model. The record is from RNAcentral.
UGUGUAGGCGGUUGUGUUAGUUUUUCGUGAAAGAUCUUGGGCUCAACCCAGGAAGCGCGGGGGAAACGGCAUGACUUAGAGGAUGUGAGAGGUAAAGGGAACUCAUGGUGUAGGGGUGAAAUCCGUUGAUAUCAUGGGGAACACCAAAUGCGAAGGCACUUUACUGGCACACUCCUGACGCUGAAACACGAAAGCGUGGGAAUCGAACG